CCUACGGGCGGCAGCAGUGGGGAAUAUUGGACAAUGGGGGGAACCCUGAUCCAGCCAUGCCGCGUGUGUGAAGAAGGCCCUCUGGUUGUAAAGCACUUUCAGUGAGGAAGAACGCCUGGUGGUUAAUACCCAUCAGGAAAGACAUCACUCACAGAAGAAGCACCGGCUAACUCCGUGCCAGCAGCCGCGGUAAUACGGAGGGUGCGAGCGUUAAUCGGAAUUACUGGGCGUAAAGCGCGCGUAGGUGGCUUGAUAAGCCGGUUGUGAAAGCCCCGGGCUCAACCUGGGAACGGCAUCCGGAACUGUCAAGCUAGAGUGCAGGAGAGGAAGGUAGAAUUCCCGGUGUAGCGGUGAAAUGCGUAGAGAUCGGGAGGAAUACCAGUGGCGAAGGCGGCCUUCUGGACUGACACUGACACUGAGGUGCGAAAGCGUGGGUAGCAAACAGGAUUAGAUACCCUUGUAGUC
RNAcentral lists this ribosomal RNA (465 nucleotides) under Vreelandella stevensii. RNAcentral's name for it is "partial 16S ribosomal RNA". It matches the Rfam family "Bacterial small subunit ribosomal RNA", at positions 338 to 795 of the family's 1533-position model. Lineage: Bacteria; Pseudomonadati; Pseudomonadota; Gammaproteobacteria; Oceanospirillales; Halomonadaceae. The record is from RNAcentral.